RNAcentral lists this ribosomal RNA (526 nucleotides) under uncultured bacterium. RNAcentral describes it as "bacterial SSU rRNA". It matches the Rfam family "Bacterial small subunit ribosomal RNA", at positions 21 to 518 of the family's 1533-position model. The record is from RNAcentral.
GGCUCAGAACGAACGCUGGCGGCGUGCUUAACACAUGCAAGUCGAAACGCGAAAGGGACUUCGGGUCCUGAGGUAAAAGUGGCGCACGGGUGAGUAACGCGUAAGAUAACCUGUCUUCAUGGUCUGGAAUAAUACGCCGAAAGGGGUACUAAUACCGGAUAUCUUGCUUUUCAUAAGUUAUGCAAGCAAAGGUGGCCUCUGCAUAUGCUACUGCAUGAAGAGGGGUCUGCGUACCAUUAGCUAGUAGGUGGGGUAAUGGCCUACCUAGGGCGACGAUGGUUAGCGGGUCUGAGAGGACGAUCCGCCACACCUGGCACUGGAACACGGGCCAGACUCCUACGGGAGGCAGCAGUGAGGAAUAUUGCGCAAUGGGGGAAACCCUGACGCAGCGACGCCGCGUGAGUGAGGAAGGCCUUCGGGUCGUAAAGCUCUGUCAAGAGGAAAGAAGGUGUACAAUGGCUAAUACCUGUUGUUAUUUGACGGUACCUCUAAAGGAAGCACCGGCUAACUCCGUGCCAGCCGCCGC